RNAcentral lists this long non-coding RNA (209 nucleotides) under Elaeis guineensis (African oil palm). RNAcentral describes it as "long non-coding RNA (EGUI_LNC000823)". The record is from RNAcentral. Lineage: Eukaryota; Viridiplantae; Streptophyta; Magnoliopsida; Arecales; Arecaceae.
GUGAGGACUUUAUUUUGUAGAUGCUCUUCAUCGGCAACGGGCGCAACAGAAGAUUGGCCACAACAAGUAUAUUCAAUAUUUAUCUUUUUUUUUAUAAAAAAAUAAUUUAUUUUUGUAGAAAUAAUGAUGAAAUAUAAAAUAUCAUAAUAUACAUCAAAUUUUUAAUUUAAUGGCAUGAAUUCAUACGAUUAAGUAAACUAUACGUAGUU